GGGGAAUAUUGGACAAUGGGCGAAAGCCUGAUCCAGCCAUGCCGCGUGUGUGAAGAAGGCCUUUUGGUUGUAAAGCACUUUAAGCGAGGAGGAGGCUACUUAGAUUAAUACUCUAGGAUAGUGGACGUUACUCGCAGAAUAAGCACCGGCUAACUCUGUGCCAGCAGCCGCGGUAAUACAGAGGGUGCGAGCGUUGAUCGGAUUUACUGGGCGUAAAGCGUGCGUAGGCGGCUUCUUAAGUCGGAUGUGAAAUCCCUGAGCUUAACUUAGGAAUUGCAUUCGAUACUGGGAAGCUAGAGUAUGGGAGAGGAUGGUAGAAUUCCAGGUGUAGCGGUGAAAUGCGUAGAGAUCUGGAGGAAUACCGAUGGCGAAGGCAGCCAUCUGGCCUAAUACUGACGUUGAGGUACGAAAGCAUGGGGAGCAAAC
RNAcentral lists this ribosomal RNA (426 nucleotides) under uncultured bacterium. RNAcentral's name for it is "bacterial SSU rRNA". It matches the Rfam family "Bacterial small subunit ribosomal RNA", at positions 356 to 773 of the family's 1533-position model. The record is from RNAcentral.